Molecule: non-coding RNA, 235 nt
Organism: Pelobates cultripes (western spadefoot toad)
Lineage: Eukaryota; Metazoa; Chordata; Amphibia; Anura; Pelobatidae
Source: the annotation of a GenBank genome assembly
UUCGCUGUUGUGACGUGCUGCAAAUUAGAUGUAUAGCCAGACACCAGCUUCUGGCAGCGUUCCUGAGGAAUCUUAGCCCAUUGCUCAUGAGCAAUGACCUCCACUCCAGUAAUAUUUUUGGGUUUGUGUGCUGCAACCGCCUUCUUCAAAUCCCACCAGAGAUUUUCUAUGGGUUUCAAUUCAGAUAACUGAUGGCCACAGUAGAAUUUUCCAGGACUUUUUUUGCAAACAAGCC